This 68-nucleotide transfer RNA is filed under the name Psilopogon virens (great barbet). RNAcentral's name for it is "tRNA-Glu". Lineage: Eukaryota; Metazoa; Chordata; Aves; Piciformes; Megalaimidae. The record is from RNAcentral.
GUUCCUGUAGUUGAAGGCAACGAUGGCUUUUCGAGUCAUAGGUCUCGGAUAGAGGCCGAGUAGGAACU